UACGAAGGGGGCUAGCGUUGUUCGGAAUUACUGGGCGUAAAGCGUAUGCAGGCGGACUUUUAAGUCGGGGGUGAAAUCCCGAGGCUCAACCUCGGAACUGCCUUCGAUACUGGAAGUCUUGAGUCCGGGAGAGGUGAGUGGAACUCCGAGUGUAGAGGUGAAAUUCGUAGAUAUUCGGAAGAACACCAGUGGCGAAGGCGGCUCACUGGUCCGGUACUGACGCUGAGGUGCGAAAGCGUGGGGAGCAAACAGG
RNAcentral lists this ribosomal RNA (253 nucleotides) under uncultured bacterium. RNAcentral's name for it is "partial 16S ribosomal RNA". It matches the Rfam family "Bacterial small subunit ribosomal RNA", at positions 524 to 776 of the family's 1533-position model. The record is from RNAcentral.